RNAcentral lists this long non-coding RNA (3384 nucleotides) under Manihot esculenta (cassava). Its description in RNAcentral is "long non-coding RNA (MESC_LNC008329)". Lineage: Eukaryota; Viridiplantae; Streptophyta; Magnoliopsida; Malpighiales; Euphorbiaceae. The record is from RNAcentral.
UUCUAUUCAGAAUCACUCAAAAGUCCUAGUGUGAUAUGAAAAAUAUUUCAUAUGAGAGAUAGAUAUGGGUUAGAGUUCAUUACAAGAUAUAGCUUUGGGAAGACAACUAAUGUCUUCCUAGAAAUUACACUAGAAAGUGGAAGGUUAUGUUUGGUUCUUCUCUUACAGGAUAUUCCAUAGAGUUAUAUUCAUCUUUUGCGCUUAAGGUUACUUUCUCACCUAUUUGUAUUAUUCAUAUGAAUUAAAUUACAUUUAUAAUUUUAUCACAUCUCAAAAUACAUCAUUGAGAUUUUAAAUAAGUUUACGUAAAUAGUUUUCUCUUUUAACUGAUUACCGAUAGUUCACGUGAUUAUUUAUUGUCGUAUUUUAAUAUAUUUUAAUUUUAAAAUAUUUCUAUUUCAAUUCUUGUUUGGACAAUAAUUAAUUACUAACAAUUCACACGAUUGUUUAUUAUUGUAUCUUGAUAUAUUUCAAUUUUAAAAAAAUUUCUAUUUUAUUUCUUGUCUAGACAAUAUGGCAAUUUUUUUCUAUAAAUACCUUUACAACCCUUCCAUGGAGAGUCCAUCAAAAUCGUAAUGUGAUAGAAAAUUUUCAUUCCAGAGGUAAGGUAUAGUUUAGAGUUCAAUACAAGGUGUAGUUUUGGGAAGACAACUAAUGUCUUUUUAGAAAUUGCACUAGAAAGUUGAAGGCCAUGUUUGGUUUCUCUUCAUAGAAUUUUCCAUAGAGCUAGCAUUCAAGGUUACUUUCUCAACUUGCAUAUUUAAUUUGCAUUAUUUAAGAACCAAAUUUAUAUUUGUAAUUUUUACAGCAUCUCAAAAUAUAUAAUUAUUUUUGAAAUUUUAAACAAUUUCACGUAAAAAGUCUUCUUUUUAACUGAUUAUUAAUAAUUCAGAUGAUUAUUUAUUAUCGCAUCUUGAUAUAUAUCAAUUUAAAAAUAUUUUUGUUUCAUUUCUUUCAUAAACAAUAUGUCAUUACUGAUAAUUCACUUGAUUAUUUAUUAUUAUAUCUUGAUAUAUUUCAGUUUAAAAAUGUCUCUACUUGAUUUUUUUUCUACAAUAUCACAUAAUCUUUCUAUAAAUACCUUUAUAACAAUUCACGUGAUUAUUUAUUAUAUCUUGAUGUAUUUCAAUUUAAAAAUAUCUUUACUUAAUUUUCUAUUUCCACAAUAUCACAUAUUUUGAGAGAUAGAAUAUGGUUUAGAGUUCAAUACAAGUUGUAGUUUUGGAAAGAUAACUAAUGUCUUCUUAGAAAUUGCACUAGAAAGUUGAAGGCCAUGUUUGAUUCUCUUCACAGAACUUCCAAUAGAGCUACCUUCAUCUUUUGCUUUAAGGUUAUUCUCUCAAUUUAUAUAUUUAAUUUGUGUCAGUCAUAUGAAUUAAAUUUAUAUUAAUUUUUAUCGUAUCUCAAAAUAUAUUAUUAUUUUUUAUAUUUUAACCAACUUCACAUGAUUGGUCUUAAACUUUUUAACUGAUUACUGACAGUUCACGUAAUUAUUUAUUAUCGUAUUUUCUUGUUUAUACAUUAUGUUAUUACUAACAAUUAAUAUGAUUAUUUAUUAUUAUAUUUUAAUAUAUUUCACUUAUAAAAAUAUAUCUACUUCAUCUUCUGCUUGGACAAUAUCACAUAAUUUUUCUAUAAAUAUCUUCGCAAUCCUUCCGUUUAGAAUCACCGAAAACCUAUUGUGAGAAAUUUUUCAUAUGAGUAGUUUUGGGAAGACAACUAAUGUCUUCUUAGAAAUUGGUAGCACUACAAAGUUGAACGCCAUGUUUGGUUCUCUUCACAAGACUUUUGUAAAGCUACAUUCAUUUUUUGCGCUUAAGGUUACUUUCUCAGCUUGCAAUUUAAUUUGUAUUAUUCAUAUGAAUUAAAUUUAUGUUUAUUAUUAUUAAUAAGGUUUACCUCAUUAGUACUAAUAUCAUUUUUAAGGUUAGAAGAUCUUGAAUUCCAAUUUUAAUAUGUCAAUUCUAACAGAGAAAAAAAAUUUACCAUUUUCUUUUAUUGCUAAGUAAAUUUUUAAAAAAAGAAAAGAUGGCAAUAAUUAUUGAUUUCUUUAUGUAGAAGUAAUGAUAAUUAAUAUAAUUACUUAAUUGUCUUAUUGGUUUAGUAUAGUAACCAUAAUAUCCCCAUUGAUGCAGGAGAAGGGACGCGAUAAUUUAUGACGACAGAGGCGCAAAGGACGUCGUCGUUUUGUUAACAUUGGAGCUGUUUUUCUUUGAUCUCUACGCAAAAUUAGUUCCCCUGUGAGUGAUCAACAGUGGCAGGUAAUUUUCUUAUUACGUUUCCAUAAUUAACUUUUACACUGAAGAAUUAAAUUGAUAUGCACCUUUUUUUUAAGCUACGGUAAUUGAAACUGCAUUAAUCACAUGGUGCUUUUUUUAUAUGAUUUGAUGUUGAUAUUUAAUAAAUAAAUGUGUAAAUAUUUUUUAAAAAUUAUUUUGCCAUUAGUAUACUAUUAAAAAAUAACAAAGUUAAAAACUCAUGGAUAUAAAAUUAAUGGUAUUAAUAAAAUUCACUCUCAUAGUUCAUUAUCAUACCAUCCAAAAAAGAAAUUUACCUGUUUAGUUGAUCGAAAUGAUAAAUUGAUUCUACAUGUUAUCAAUAUGAAAGAUUAGCCUGUCUUAGGAGAAUUUAAUUUCAUGGUCCAAUGUUAUUUUAUUGGAUCAGGGAAGUUUUCACGCUUCUGGAUGGGUUCUUUCGGUUAUCACAAUUCACAACCUGGCUGGACGAGUUUAGCCUCUCAAACCAUGAGCUAGUUAUUGGGUUCUUGUUAAAAACCAGGAGAUUUCAUUUCUGUUACCCAUGUGUGAGAAGAAGAAAAUGGUGCUAUAGAACUUGCGAUCGAACAAGCAAUUAACUUCUCUUUUAUUAGUUUACAAAUACAGGGAAUGAAGCAAGCACAUGCUAAAGCUCCUGCUCACUCCCCCAUAUGCUGGUAGAGAUUGUCCUUGCGAAUGUUGGACAAUCUCUCUACAAAUAAAUCAAUAUUGUCGUCGCGAUCUAGCAAACUAAUCCUAACGUAUUGUGGACCAACUCCGAAGUGUGUCCCACUCCUCGUCAAGAUCUUGUUCGAUCUUAAGAAGCUCUCGCAGUCUUCGAUCGGUUCUUCGCACUUCAACCAUGCAAAAGCUGCACAAGAGGUAAUGUCGUAAGUGUUAAUUAAUUCCUUGCUAACAUUGCCGUAAAUAAGGAUAUAAAUUGUCAGACAUAAUGAUUAAUUAGUGUGGAAUUUUACCAGGUUGAGGUUCAAAGAACCUGCCCGUAAACUUGCAUAAUCCAGGGGAGAAUUCCGGCAAGCUGAACAUGCCACUACGUUUCACCGCCGCCCUUAGGUUUUGCCAUCUCUCCACCAUGAGGUGAUAGGCAAACUCAAAAAGAGAUUCUGUU